Molecule: long non-coding RNA, 1875 nt
Organism: Bombus terrestris (buff-tailed bumblebee)
Lineage: Eukaryota; Metazoa; Arthropoda; Insecta; Hymenoptera; Apidae
Exons: 3
Source: RefSeq, a predicted model, not a curated record
UUACUAUGAUAGUUGUGUAUUAUUGGAGUGCUAAUGAUAUUUCAAAAUGUUUUAUACAACACAUACAGUAUGGAUAUAAAAGUUCUUUAUGUUAAGUAUUCAAAUACUUUUAUGAACCAAUGUAGUAGUGAGAAACUUAAUUUCUACUGUAAUGUUCUUUCAAUUUUAAGAUUUUAUCACCUCUUCUUUAAGCCUCUGAAUUGCUGUUAAUAACCAGUAGGCAGCAGCGGGUUUCUUUUAAUGAAGUUUAACUUCAAACACAAAAGUUACCGUGGCGAUUGAUAACAUCGAAAGCGUUUUAAGUCUUAAAAGGAUCCAGACUGCGAGAGAAUUUAAAUCCUUGACGGAGGCAAAGUGUUUCAAAGGUCGUGAACGGCUUGAAAAAUUGUGAAUUAUUGCUACACCUCACGAAGUAGUACUUUGAUACUUUUUUAUGCUUUAAUACGAGAUCCGAGCAAUUUCAGUUUACCUCUGCCCAGUUGCUUUCAAAUGUCUACACACCUUGCAACUUGUCAAUAUGUCCUUCUUUUGUUAUAUAAAAUUUUCAACCUUCAGAGUCUACCCUUUAUGAAAAUAUAAAAGUAACUUCAACCCUUGAACUUAGCUUUCGUUUAACAUGUUUACACGUUAGCCACGCCAGACUAAUUAUACUACGUAUAAUUUAAAUAUAAAAAAAUGUACAGAGAAUGUACAAUACACAUAAUAUACAAAAAUAUCCAAAGUACACAUUACAAUGUUUGAAAUAUGAAACAAAUCUCUGUUCAUUCUACUGAAUGAUUACUAUCUACUAAUGGUUACUAUCAUACAAACGUGAAUUUGUAUCAGAAUCUGCAGCCUAGUAAUUAUUAAAGACGCAUUGACCGAACAAAUCUUAAAAUAAAGCUAUAAAUUGAAAAUAAACUAGGUACGUAUCCGAACAAAAAUUUUCUUUCAUCUUAACCAUCUAAUAUUUUUUGGGAAUUCUAUGGCCAUCGCGAUCGAAAUGUCCAUUGAAUUUGUGCAAUUUUUAUGCUCUCAUAUUUUGGAAACUUCAAACUUAUAGAAAACGAGCAGGUCGUUCGUGUGCCAAUCACCGGAACAACAUCAAUGUGGAUAAAAGUUUCCAUCGAGGCGACAGACGUCUGGCGUCCUUUUCUUGUUAACAGGCACAGAACACAAACGUUCUGAGUUUAUACGCAUACCAAUGCACCGUUCAAGACACAUAUAAAAGGCGUAUAAAUCGACACAGACAUUCGCAAAGAGAACGAACUUUUCCAGAACUACUGGGGAUAUCGAAAUGUGACAAAGGGAAGAAAGUUGAUCAACAGUGCAGUUGACAUUAUGCUGUCGUCCUUAUAACUCGUGACUCAACAGUUGUGAAGAUGUUUCUGGUCAAGGUUUUGUACGCCUCGGUCAAGUGAAAAACGUUCAGGACAAAUAGAUUGAGGCAGAGUUAACGAAAUGGAGUAUUUUCAUUCCAUACUAAAUUACACACAUUAUGUUGUUGAAAUUGUUUGAAAUAUUGAAUCCAGAAUUGAAAAUAUGUAUCAAGCCCCCAAGAAGUAAAAUGUAAAAAUAUGUAUCUAUUACAUAUAACGCUUUGAAAUUAGAUUAAAAAAUUUUAAACUCGCAUUUAUUAUCUAAGAAUGUAUGAGAAAUUUUUUAUAUAAUGCCACGAAUAUAAACUGCAUCGAUCCAACAUAUUUUUAUCGUGAAUAUUUAUAAUCAUAAAUUCUCGCAAAUUUGUAUAAAAGUUGUAAUAUUUUAAUUUUUCGAAUAAAUUUUCGAACAUUUCUGUGCGAGGAUAAUUUGUUGAACAUGUUAUCGAAAUAAAAAGAAUAAUAUAUAAAUUUAGAAGUGAUAUAUUUCUAUAAAAAUAGCUAUAAGAAUAAUUCA